AUGAACGUUGCGCUCAUGUUGAGAUGGGUCUGGCGGAUCUUAUGCGGCAAGGGAGGACUAUGGCUACAACUCAUUCAGGCGAAAUACCUUAGGGGUGAACCGCUCUUGGCAUGCAACCGGACGGAGGGCUCACAAUUCUGGCGAGCCAUCCAAAGGAUUAAGGAGGACAUCCGCCUAGGGAUCUCCUUCUCCUUAGGGAACGGAAAAGGGAUCCAAUUUUGGUUGGAUCCCUGGCUGGGUACUGAGCCAUUACGCGUUUGCUUCCGUGGCUUAAUCUCGAUUUAUGUGGAUCCAUCUAUACUAGUGUCUACAGCUUUCCAAGCAGGACAGUGGAACAUCCGGUUUCGUUGCACCUUUGGACAAGCCGAGAGUAAUGACUGGAAUAGAUUGUGGGCCGCCCUCCCCUCAUGCUUCCAGAUUAUCCGGACAUGGUAUCCUGGCGGCUUGCGCCGACGGAGGAGUUCUCAAUGA
Molecule: ribosomal RNA, 471 nt
Filed under: Triticum aestivum (bread wheat)
Lineage: Eukaryota; Viridiplantae; Streptophyta; Magnoliopsida; Poales; Poaceae
Description: partial small subunit ribosomal RNA
Source: RNAcentral